RNAcentral lists this ribosomal RNA (253 nucleotides) under uncultured prokaryote. RNAcentral describes it as "partial 16S ribosomal RNA". It matches the Rfam family "Bacterial small subunit ribosomal RNA", at positions 525 to 777 of the family's 1533-position model. The record is from RNAcentral.
ACGGGGGGGGCAAGCGUUGUUCGGAAUUACUGGGCGUAAAGGGCUCGUAGGCGGCCAACUAAGUCGGAUGUGAAAUCCCCAGGCUUAACCUGGGAACUGCAUCCGAUACUGGAUGGCUUGAAUCCGGGAGAGGGAUGCGGAAUUCCAGGUGUAGCGGUGAAAUGCGCAGAUAUCAGGAGGAACACCGAUGGCGAAGGCAGGUCUCUGGGCAUUAACUGACGCUGAGGAGCGAAAGCAUGGGGAGCGAACAGGA